UUUAUGGAGAGUUUGAUCCUGGCUCAGGACGAACGCUGGCGGCGUGCCUAAUACAUGCAAGUCGAGCGGAGUUGUGAGAGAGCUUGCUCUCAAGCAGCUUAGCGGCGGACGGGUGAGUAACACGUAGGCAACCUGCCCGUAAGACCGGGAUAACAUGCGGAAACGGAUGCUAAGACCGGAUACGCAGCCCCCUCGCAUGAGGGAGCUGGGAAACGCGGAGC
RNAcentral lists this ribosomal RNA (221 nucleotides) under Cohnella sp. CFH 77786. RNAcentral describes it as "partial 16S ribosomal RNA". It matches the Rfam family "Bacterial small subunit ribosomal RNA", at positions 1 to 214 of the family's 1533-position model. The record is from RNAcentral. Lineage: Bacteria; Bacillati; Bacillota; Bacilli; Caryophanales; Paenibacillaceae.